RNAcentral lists this ribosomal RNA (453 nucleotides) under uncultured bacterium. RNAcentral describes it as "partial 16S ribosomal RNA". It matches the Rfam family "Bacterial small subunit ribosomal RNA", at positions 28 to 523 of the family's 1533-position model. The record is from RNAcentral.
GACGAACGCUGGCGGUCUGCUUAACACAUGCAAGUCGAACGGAAUCCUUCGGGAUUUAGUGGCGGACGGGUGAGUAACGCGUGAGAAUCUGCCUUCAGGUUCGGGACAACAGCUGGAAACGGCUGCUAAUACCGGAUGUGCCGAGAGGUGAAAGCUUUAGUGCCUGAAGAUGAGCUCGCGUCUGAUUAGCUAGUAGGAGUGGUAAUGGCACCCCUAGGCGACGAUCAGUAGCUGGUCUGAGAGGAUGAUCAGCCACACUGGGACUGAGACACGGCCCAGACUCCUACGGGAGGCAGCAGUGGGGAAUUUUCCGCAAUGAGCGCAAGCCUGACGGAGCAAGACCGCGUGAGGGAAGAAGGUCUGUGGAUUGUAAACCUCUUUUGAUGGGGAAGAAGACAGUGACGGUACCCAUCGAAUCAGCCUCGGCUAACUCCGUGCCAGCCGCCGCCGUAA